CUAGACAGUAGCCCGAGGGCCUCCGCUUCUGGUGACUUUGGGGCUGCCAUGGGCCUGGCUGCUCCUGUACUAGCUUGUUGACUCUGGCCCACGCCUGCUGCAGAGCAGCCCGAGGGGGGCAACACCUUCCCCUGAGAACCAGUGCCAGGGUAGGAGCACCCGGGGCUCUGUAUAAGGUCAGCACUACUGUGAUGGAUUGCUCCUGCUGGAUGGAUGGACAGACGGACCAGAAUGCAGAUCCCAGAAAGGGCACGCCAUCCCUGGAAGGCAUGCGAGCCAGGCCCCCCCAGAGCAGCACCAGAGCAUGGCGACCCCAUCAAGGACUUUGCUGGAGGCUGUGAAGACCCUCCCAGGUCUCCUCUGACUCGGGGAAGUCCGGAGAGGGAGCCCGGGCGGACAGCCUGCUUCCCGCCACAAGCAGACCCCCUCCGGGCGCCA
This is a long non-coding RNA of Echinops telfairi (small Madagascar hedgehog), 438 nucleotides long. RefSeq lists it as uncharacterized. The transcript is spliced from 3 exons. The record is from RefSeq and is a predicted model, not a curated record. NCBI's taxonomy places the organism in Eukaryota, Metazoa, Chordata, Mammalia, Afrosoricida, Tenrecidae.